This 253-nucleotide ribosomal RNA is filed under the name uncultured bacterium. RNAcentral's name for it is "partial 16S ribosomal RNA". It matches the Rfam family "Bacterial small subunit ribosomal RNA", at positions 524 to 776 of the family's 1533-position model. The record is from RNAcentral.
UACGAAGGGGGCUAGCGUUGUUCGGAAUUACUGGGCGUAAAGCGCGUGUAGGCGGGUCUUUUAGUCAGGGGUGAAAUGCCAAGGCUCAACCUUGGAACUGCCUUUGAUACUGGAGAUCUUGAGUCCGGGAGAGGUGAGUGGAAUUGAGAGUGUAGAGGUGAAAUUCGUAGAUAUUCGCAAGAACACCAGUGGCGAAGGCGGCUCACUGGCCCGGAACUGACGCUGAGACGCGAAAGCGUGGGGAGCAAACAGG